This 121-nucleotide microRNA precursor is filed under the name Cavia porcellus (domestic guinea pig). RNAcentral describes it as "miRNA (ENSCPOG00000038886.1)". The record is from RNAcentral. Lineage: Eukaryota; Metazoa; Chordata; Mammalia; Rodentia; Caviidae.
GGUCUCGCUGUGUAGUUCAGGCUGGCCUUGAGCUCACUUUGUAGCCCAGGCUGGCCUGGAACUCACAACAAUCCUCCUGCCUCAGCUUCCCGAGUGCUGGGAUUACAGGCAUGAGCCACCA